RNAcentral lists this long non-coding RNA (242 nucleotides) under Elaeis guineensis (African oil palm). RNAcentral describes it as "long non-coding RNA (EGUI_LNC050938)". Lineage: Eukaryota; Viridiplantae; Streptophyta; Magnoliopsida; Arecales; Arecaceae. The record is from RNAcentral.
GCCCGGUGUGGUGCUACGACGUCUUUCAAGAAAUUAUGGUUCAGACUUUUCAAUAACGUAGCCAAAGUUCAUGCUAACUUGUUUCUUACUCUCCACGCAUGCUCUGAAUUUGACCUCUUCAAACUUUUAAUAAGGUUUUCAGCCAAAGAAUAAGGUGCCUUUGACGUGGUCUCGGUCCUUUGGUUUUUCAGGAUUCCAAAACUGACUGAUGACCAACUUGGAGUCACCAAUGACUUUGAUAG